Poecilia latipinna (sailfin molly) is the source of this 417-nucleotide long non-coding RNA. RefSeq lists it as uncharacterized. Lineage: Eukaryota; Metazoa; Chordata; Actinopteri; Cyprinodontiformes; Poeciliidae. The transcript has 2 exons. The record is from RefSeq and is a predicted model, not a curated record.
AACUUAUCAAAACCAAUAUUUAAAGUGUUGAUGGUACAUGUAACAUGGUUCAAGAAGUAAAUGAUUUUUCCAACAUCACCUACAUAUCAGUUUCAUGAGGUAGGAAGAGCAGAAACUGAAGUGUCUUUGUGGUUACAGUGACAUAUGCAGAGUCUGCAGAAAAUGCUACUUUAGUUUUUUUCUGUUUUUCUAUUUAAUUAGAGAACAAAGAAUAGCAACCAUGGUAUUAUAAAGGAGGGCCAGGAGGCAGCGGCUGGUGAUGUAAGUUAUUAUGCAACAUCACUGGUCUUGAACAUCUAAGUGAGAAUGUUAUAGUUGCUGUGCAGGAGCCUGCUGCUGGCAGGAAGUCACUGAGUUCAGCUGUGGCUUUGCAGGUACAGCAGAGGCUAACAGAGGAAUAAACCCAGAUGCAUCCUG